GACGAACGCUGGCGGCGUGCUUAACACAUGCAAGUCGAACGGAAAGGCCCUGCUUUUGUGGGGUGCUCGAGUGGCGAACGGGUGAGUAACACGCGAGUAACCUGCCCUUGACUUUGGGAUAACUUCAGGAAACUGGGGCUAAUACCGGAUAGGAGCUCCUGCUGCAUGGUGGGGGUUGGAAAGUUUCGGCGGUUGGGGAUGGACUCGCGGCUUAUCAGCUUGUUGGUGGGGUAGUGGCUUACCAAGGCUUUGACGGGUAGCCGGCCUGAGAGGGUGACCGGCCACAUUGGGACUGAGAUACGGCACAGACUCCUACGGGAGGCAGCAGUGGGGAAUAUUGCACAAUGGGCGGAAGCCUGAUGCAGCAACGCCGCGUGCGGGAUGACGGCCUUCGGGUUGUAAACCGCUUUCGCCUGUGACGAAGCGUGAGUGACGGUAAUGGGUAAAGAAGCACCGGCUAACUACGUG
This 468-nucleotide ribosomal RNA is filed under the name uncultured bacterium. RNAcentral describes it as "partial 16S ribosomal RNA". It matches the Rfam family "Bacterial small subunit ribosomal RNA", at positions 28 to 507 of the family's 1533-position model. The record is from RNAcentral.